GCAAGUUCACGCGCAUUGUACCAUUUCAACGCUGCUGAGUGGUUUGUUCGCUUGCGAAGUAUUCUUAAUUUGGAUGUGGAAUGGAAACGCGUUGAACAAGAGUAUGUAAAGGAUUGGAGAAUACUCUGUUGAAGGAUAGAGUGUGUAGGAUGUCUGAUAUUGUAAAGUGAAGGACAACUACAAACUGAAACGUACUGCAGUCUUGUCCAUUGUUGUUUCACAUCAGCAUUUCCUUAUGUGGAGUUAGAGCUCCAACAGAGACAAUGUAAAGGGUGAGGACUUUCGUUCCUCGUUUGCUGAAAUCGGAACAGUUCAUGGUCUGAUUCCUGAAAACCUCACUGUAAUGGCUUUGACAGCGACUGCCACCAAGUCCACCUUUGACCAAGUAGUCGAUCGACUUGCAAUGCAGAAAGUCACUGUUGUUGGUACAUCACCUGCAAGGGACAACACUCGGUAUGCAGUUCACCCUAUUGUGCCUAUGGAAGAGUUUUGUAUGAGUAUAGCCAAAGAUGUGAGACGUCAGAGGAUUGAAUAUCCCAAACUGUUCUUUUCUGCAGAAAGUAUGGGGAUUGCUCAUCUACUUUCUUUUGAGAGCUAAAUUAGGACGAGAGUUGACUCACCCUACUGGGACACUAGAUCUUCAAGAAUUGAGACUGGUGGAUAUGUACACUAGUGCAUCUAUGGUGAAGAUGAGGCAGAAGGUUCUUGCAUCAUUCAUGGAGCAGGGUAGCACAUUCCGCAUCUUGAUUGCCACCACAGCAUUUGGCAUGGGCGCGGAUUGUAAGGACAUCAGGCAAAUCAUGCACUGGGGCCCUCCAUCACUUAUUGAAGACUACGUGCAAGAAACAAGACGAGGUGGAUAUCAGUCCCAAGCCAUUCUUUUCAAUUGCAUGCACAAUGCACACAGGAGUUUGACUCCAGCAGUGAAACACUAUAGCAAAGAUAGUUGCUUGUGUCGCCGUAGGACAUUGUUCCACGACUUCGUAUUUUGUUCAGAUUCUGAUUUAGUCACAUCUCAAGAUGCAGGUGUUGUGAUGUUUGUGCUCAAACGUGUUUAUGUGGAUGCUGACAGCCUUUUUGAAAUUUCUAUAGCAGCCCAUACUGUAAUUUUUUAUGGCUAUGCUCUUACAUUUGCAUUUACUGAGAUUAUCGUCAAACCACGUUGAUAGCACCUGGCAGAGGCCUGUGUUUUGUUACUUAUUUAAUUUAUUGCAUAUGGUCA
Molecule: long non-coding RNA, 1222 nt
Organism: Corticium candelabrum
Lineage: Eukaryota; Metazoa; Porifera; Homoscleromorpha; Homosclerophorida; Plakinidae
Exons: 4
Source: RefSeq, a predicted model, not a curated record